Non-coding RNA from Serratia fonticola, 147 nucleotides. Lineage: Bacteria; Pseudomonadati; Pseudomonadota; Gammaproteobacteria; Enterobacterales; Yersiniaceae. The record is from Rfam.
CUUUAACAAUCUGGAACAAGCUGAAAAUUGAAACAUGACAGCUGAAACUUAUCCCUCCGUAGAACUAUUGGGGUAAGGAUUAACCUGUCAUAGAGUCUCUCAAAUAAACAGCACGACAGUGUUCUCUGUUUACAGAAACACCUUCGG